GAUGAACGCUAGCUACAGGCUUAACACAUGCAAGUCGAGGGGCAGCAUCAUCAAAGCUUGCUUUGAUGGAUGGCGACCGGCGCACGGGUGAGUAACACGUAUCCAACCUGCCGACAACACUGGGAUAGCCUUUCGAAAGAAAGAUUAAUACCGGAUGGCAUAGUUUUCCCGCAUGGGAUAAUUAUUAAAGAAUUUCGGUUGUCGAUGGGGAUGCGUUCCAUUAGGCAGUUGGCGGGGUAACGGCCCACCAAACCAACGAUGGAUAGGGGUUCUGAGAGGAAGGUCCCCCACAUUGGAACUGAGACACGGUCCAAACUCCUACGGGAGGCAGCAGUGAGGAAUAUUGGUCAAUGGACGAGAGUCUGAACCAGCCAAGUAGCGUGAAGGAUGACUGCCCUAUGGGUUGUAAACUUCUUUUAUACGGGAAUAAAGUUAGCCACGUGUGGCUUUUUGUAUGUACCGUAUGAAUAAGGAUCGGCUAACUCCGUGCCAGCAGCCGCGGUAAUACGGAGGAUCCGAGCGUUAUCCGGAUUUAUUGGGUUUAAAGGGAGCGUAGGCGGGUUGUUAAGUCAGUUGUGAAAGUUUGCGGCUCAACCGUAAAAUUGCAGUUGAUACUGGCGACCUUGAGUGCAACAGAGGUAGGCGGAAUUCGUGGUGUAGCGGUGAAAUGCUUAGAUUUCACGAAGAACUCCGAUUGCGAAGGCAGCUUACUGGAUUGUAACUGACGCUGAUGCUCGAAAGUGUGGGUAUCAAACAGGAUUAGAUACCCUGGUAGUCCACACAGUAAACGAUGAAUACUCGCUGUUGGCGAUAUACAGUCAGCGGCCAAGCGAAAGCAUUAAGUAUUCCACCUGGGGAGUACGCCGGCAACGGUGAAACUCAAAGGAAUUGACGGGGGCCCGCACAAGCGGAGGAACAUGUGGUUUAAUUCGAUGAUACGCGAGGAACCUUACCCGGGCUUAAAUUGCAACUGACUGAACCGGAAACGGUUCUUUCUUCGGACAGUUGUGAAGGUGCUGCAUGGUUGUCGUCAGCUCGUGCCGUGAGGUGUCGGCUUAAGUGCCAUAACGAGCGCAACCCUUACGGGUAGUUACCAUCAGGUUAUGCUGGGGACUCUACCCGGACUGCCGUCGUAAGAUGUGAGGAAGGUGGGGAUGACGUCAAAUCAGCACGGCCCUUACGUCCGGGGCUACACACGUGUUACAAUGGGGGGUACAGAAGGCAGCUACACGGCGACGUGGUGCUAAUCCCAAAAGCCUCUCUCAGUUCGGAUUGGAGUCUGCAACCCGACUCCAUGAAGCUGGAUUCGCUAGUAAUCGCGCAUCAGCCACGGCGCGGUGAAUACGUUCCCGGGCCU
RNAcentral lists this ribosomal RNA (1357 nucleotides) under uncultured bacterium. RNAcentral's name for it is "bacterial SSU rRNA". It matches the Rfam family "Bacterial small subunit ribosomal RNA", at positions 28 to 1381 of the family's 1533-position model. The record is from RNAcentral.